This 421-nucleotide ribosomal RNA is filed under the name uncultured bacterium. RNAcentral describes it as "bacterial SSU rRNA". It matches the Rfam family "Bacterial small subunit ribosomal RNA", at positions 33 to 499 of the family's 1533-position model. The record is from RNAcentral.
UACGCUGGCGGCACGCCUAACACAUGCAAGUCGAACGCAGUAGCAAUACUGAGUGGCAAACGGGUGAGUAUAAUGUGGGAAUCUGCCUUUUGGUUUGGAAUAACACGGGGAAACUUGUGCUAAUACCGAAUAAGCCUUUACAGGGAAAGUUUUAACGCCAAGAGAUGAGCCCGCACUUGAUUAGCUAGUUGGUAAGGUAAAAGCUUACCAAGGCAACGAUCAAUAGCUGUUCUUAGAGGAAGACCAGCCACAUUGGGACUGAGACACGGCCCAGACUCCUACGGGAGGCAGCAGUGGGGAAUCUUGCACAAUGGGGGAAACCCUGAUGCAGCGAUGCCGCGUGAGUGAAGAAGGCCCUUGGGUUGUAAAACUCUUUCGUCGGGGAAGAAAAUGACUGUACCCGAAUAAGAAGGUCCGGCUA